UUUGGGUUGAUCCUGGCUCAGAUUGAACGCUGGCGGCACGCCUUACACAUGCAAGUCGAACGGCAGCACGGGGGCCACCCUGGUGGCGAGUGGCGAACGGGUGAGUUAUACAUCGGACACGUGUCCUGUAGUGGGGGAUAGCCCGGCGAAAGCCGGAUUUAUACCGCAUACGAUCUACGGAAGAAAGCGGGGGAUCGCAAGACCUCGCGCUAUAGGGGCGGCCGAUGGCAGAUUAGCUAGUUGGUGGGGUAAAGGCCUACCAAGGCGACGAUCUGUAGCUGGUCUGAGAGGACGACCAGCCACACUGGGACUGAGACACGGCCCAGACUCCUACGGGAGGCAGCAGUGGGGAAUUUUGGACAAUGGGGGAAACCCUGAUCCAGCAAUGCCGCGUGUGUGAAGAAGGCCUUCGGGUUGUAAAGCACUUUUGUCCGGAAAGAAAACUUCUGCCCUAAUACGGUGGGAGGAUGACGGUACCGGAAGAAUAAGCACCGGCUA
RNAcentral lists this ribosomal RNA (498 nucleotides) under Burkholderia sp. EPMY11. RNAcentral's name for it is "bacterial SSU rRNA". It matches the Rfam family "Bacterial small subunit ribosomal RNA", at positions 1 to 499 of the family's 1533-position model. The record is from RNAcentral. Lineage: Bacteria; Pseudomonadati; Pseudomonadota; Betaproteobacteria; Burkholderiales; Burkholderiaceae.